RNAcentral lists this ribosomal RNA (305 nucleotides) under uncultured bacterium. RNAcentral describes it as "bacterial SSU rRNA". It matches the Rfam family "Bacterial small subunit ribosomal RNA", at positions 337 to 639 of the family's 1533-position model. The record is from RNAcentral.
UCCUACGGGACGCAGCAGUGAGGAAUAUUGGUCAAUGGGCGGUAGCCUGAACCAGCCAAGUCGCGUGAAGGAUGAAGGUUCUAUGGAUUGUAAACUUCUUUUAUAAAGGAAUAACGUGAGUCACGUGUGCCUUUUUGUAUGUACUUUAUGAAUAAGGAUCGGCUAACUCCGUGCCAGCAGCCGCGGUAAUACGGAGGAUCCGAGCGUUAUCCGGAUUUAUUGGGUUUAAAGGGAGCGUAGAUGGGUUGUUAAGUCAGUUGUGAAAGUUUGCGGCUCAACCGUAAAAUUGCAAUUGAUACUGGCGG